This is a long non-coding RNA of Mustela erminea (ermine), 1199 nucleotides long. RefSeq lists it as uncharacterized. The transcript has 2 exons. NCBI's taxonomy places the organism in Eukaryota, Metazoa, Chordata, Mammalia, Carnivora, Mustelidae. The record is from RefSeq and is a predicted model, not a curated record.
UCACCCACCCCCCACCUCCUCCCUUCCCAUACCCACAGUUUGUUUCUCAGCGUCCACAGUCUCUCAUGCUUCGUCUUAAAAGCCCUUCCUUACAGUCCCUUUCUUUGCUGGAUCCCCUUGGAACCUCUUUCAUUCCCGUCACAGUCCCUCGCACCACUGGCCCAGCUCCUCUGUACUCUGAGCGGCUGUGGUUCCUUCAGCUCCCCUUCUGUUGAGACCAUACUGAGCUAAUCCUUGUUACAUCAGCUGCCUUGAAAUGACCAGUCGUUGCUAACAGCUGUUCCCUUUCUUUAAGGCACAUAGUACAAUCUCACAGGACAAGAGCGAGUACUCCGUAUCACCGAACACAGCUGGCUUCACUGGAUGGCCAGCUGUCGUACUCCCAGGGCUCUGAAUCAAGUAGAGAGUCCUUGACCUGAACUUCACAGAUAGAGAGAUCCAAUGCCUGGAGAUACUAGUUUAUCUGGAAUAGAUAUUAUCUCAUUUUAUCCAUUAAAGUUGGGUUUGACUGGGACAGGCAGAAAACCCUAAAUGUGACUUAAAUAAGAUGAAUUUUAUUUUGAACUCACAUAAAAGAGGCCUGAACACGAGCAGUGGGCAGGAGAUCAUCAGGGACCCAGGGUCCUUCUGGCCUUUGACUCCAACAUCCUCUGUCCUUGGGUUCUCAACUCCCACCAUGGCUGUACCAGCUUUACCCGUCAUAUCCACAGCUGAGCCAGGAGAGAGGCAGGAUGAGGAGAAGGACCUCUGCCCUCCCUUUAAACACAACACAAGGCCUGUGAGGACAGGGUAUUUAUUGACUUUGCAGAAUGUUGUGUCCCCAGCAUAAGGACCGUCUCGGACACAUAGAAGGUGCUCGGUAAAUAUCUGAGCAGUGAAUACCUUCCCCAACCAGAGUGUGGCAGGUGCAGAUAGGUCAUCAGACUGGAAAAACAGAACCCUAAAACACUCCAGAAUAGGAUUUAGCCACUUUAUAAUUCACACAGGAAGCAGAAAAUGUUGAGCGGUAACACUGAAGCCUGUGGAGUUUCUCAGAUACUAUAAGUCACCCAGCAACCUUCGCUGGUUCUCAUUAUCUCUGACAAAGAGGGGUAAGAAAGGGACAGAUGAGUGAAACAAUCCAAAAGCACCAUAGACGUUGCUAGUUCUCACCACAUUCAUGAACACACGUUUACCACAACAGCGAGCAGUUAGCACAC